Molecule: ribosomal RNA, 445 nt
Filed under: uncultured bacterium
Lineage: Bacteria
Description: bacterial SSU rRNA
Rfam family: Bacterial small subunit ribosomal RNA
Source: RNAcentral
CCUACGGGAGGCAGCAGUGGGGAAUAUUGCACAAUGGGGGAAACCCUGAUGCAGCGACGCCGCGUGCGGGAUGACGGCCUUCGGGUUGUAAACCGCUUUUAAUUGGGAGCAAGCGCAAGUGAGUGUACCUUUUGAAUAAGCACCGGCUAACUACGUGCCAGCAGCCGCGGUAAUACGUAGGGUGCAAGCGUUGUCCGGAAUUAUUGGGCGUAAAGAGCUCGUAGGCGGUUUGUCGCGUCUGGUGUGAAAGUCCAUCGCUUAACGGUGGAUUUGCGCUGGGUACGGGCAGGCUAGAGUGUAGUAGGGGAGACUGGAAUUCCCGGUGUAACGGUGGAAUGUGUAGAUAUCGGGAAGAACACCAAUGGCGAAGGCAGGUCUCUGGGCUAUUACUGACGCUGAGGAGCGAAAGCGUGGGGAGCGAACAGGAUUAGAUACCCUUGUAGUC